This 389-nucleotide unclassified non-coding RNA is filed under the name Demospongiae sp. GW30102. Its description in RNAcentral is "sequence contains 28S rRNA gene". RNAcentral also lists the same sequence under 2 other names. The record is from RNAcentral. Lineage: Eukaryota; Metazoa; Porifera; Demospongiae.
GCUCAGGGUGUCGAGGUUGUCGUGCUUCGUCUGGGUUCAUCCGGUGGUGUUGCCGCCGCCGGUGCAUUUCCGGUCGAGGUUGGACCGUCAGUCGGGAAGACGCGGGAAUCUGAUUGUCGGUGUCGGGGAGGUAGGCCUUGCGGUUGCUCUCGAGCUCCCAGGGUCACAUAUAGCCCGUCACCGUGGUAUCCGUUGUCUUUCAGGUGUGUUGGAUGGCCGUUCGUCCAUUGUUGGUAGGUGCAGUCUCCCUUUUUGGGAGUUCGGGCCGGGUUUGGAGUCGCUUGAAGUCGUGGAGUUUGUGUUCCGUUCUCUCGCCGUUUGAUUCGUUCGGCGGUGUAGGGUGCGGCACGGCACGCGAUUUUCGGGUCCUCUGGAUUCGUGUCCAAGUC